RNAcentral lists this ribosomal RNA (253 nucleotides) under uncultured bacterium. RNAcentral describes it as "partial 16S ribosomal RNA". It matches the Rfam family "Bacterial small subunit ribosomal RNA", at positions 524 to 776 of the family's 1533-position model. The record is from RNAcentral.
UACGUAGGGCGCAAGCGUUGUCCGGAAUUAUUGGGCGUAAAGAGCUCGUAGGUGGUUUGCUACGUCCGCUGUGAAAACCUAGGGCUUAACCCUGGGCCUGCAGUGGAUACGGGCAGACUAGAGGUAGGUAGGGGAGAAUGGAAUUCCCGGUGUAGCGGUGAAAUGCGCAGAUAUCGGGAGGAACACCGGUGGCGAAGGCGGUUCUCUGGGCCUUACCUGACACUGAGGAGCGAAAGCGUGGGGAGCGAACAGG